RNAcentral lists this unclassified non-coding RNA (385 nucleotides) under uncultured fungus. RNAcentral's name for it is "sequence contains ITS1". The stretch from base 1 to 104 matches the Rfam family "5.8S ribosomal RNA", at positions 50 to 154 of the family's 154-position model. Lineage: Eukaryota; Fungi. The record is from RNAcentral.
GAAGUGCGAAAAGUGUCAUGACUUGCAGAGUCUCUUUGAGCUGACAAAUUUCUGAAUGCAAAUGGCAGUCGGCGCAAGAUCCGGCUAUGUAUUGUAGAGUGUAGAUGCUCCAGCACAUCAUCACUCAUUAUCCUCUUUCGAGAGAAUAAUCGAGUGGACCUGCGUUUGUGGCGCUAAGUGCUACGAAUCGUCAAAUCAAAAGACGACGCUUCUCAGCUUUUGUGUUCUCCUUCACCGGAGGGCGCGACUGUUGUGUGGCGCACAUCGUUGGACUUUAAACCCCCAUGCGAUUGUGUUGCGUACCCUCCUGUACGUGUCUGUCUAUAACCCCCUCAUUAAUAUCAAUGAGCCACCUCUACAAUGCAGGAUAACCCGCUGAACUUAA